UGGGGACUCGUCUAAUGGCAGGACAGCAGACUCUGAAUCUGUAUGUAGAGGUUCGAAUCCUUUGUCCCCAGCUA
RNAcentral lists this transfer RNA (74 nucleotides) under Anaerolineaceae bacterium oral taxon 439. RNAcentral describes it as "tRNA-Gln". It matches the Rfam family "tRNA". Rfam says of the family: Transfer RNA (tRNA) molecules are approximately 80 nucleotides in length. Their secondary structure includes four short double-helical elements and three loops (D, anti-codon, and T loops). The record is from RNAcentral. Lineage: Bacteria; Bacillati; Chloroflexota; Anaerolineae; Anaerolineales; Anaerolineaceae.